UAUGGAGCUUUAGUAUAAUAACUAAAAUUCACUUCUAACAAUCUAAGGGUAUACAAAUAAAUUAACUAGUUAUAAACUUUGGUUGGGGUGACCUCGGAGAACAAAUAAACCUCCGAAUGAUUAUAAUCUUAGACUUACAAGUCAAAGCAUGAUCACUUAUUGACCCAGUAAAUUUUACUGAUCAACGGAACAAGUUACCCUA
RNAcentral lists this ribosomal RNA (202 nucleotides) under Erinaceus europaeus (western European hedgehog). RNAcentral describes it as "partial 16S ribosomal RNA". Lineage: Eukaryota; Metazoa; Chordata; Mammalia; Eulipotyphla; Erinaceidae. The record is from RNAcentral.